RNAcentral lists this ribosomal RNA (253 nucleotides) under uncultured bacterium. RNAcentral describes it as "partial 16S ribosomal RNA". It matches the Rfam family "Bacterial small subunit ribosomal RNA", at positions 524 to 776 of the family's 1533-position model. The record is from RNAcentral.
UACGGGGGGGGCAAGCGUUGUUCGGAAUUACUGGGCGUAAAGCGUGCGCAGGCGGUGAUGUAAGACAGAUGUGAAAUCCCCGGGCUCAACCUGGGAACUGCAUUUGUGACUGCAUCGCUGGAGUACGGCAGAGGGGGAUGGAAUUCCGCGUGUAGCAGUGAAAUGCGUAGAUAUGCGGAGGAACACCGAUGGCGAAGGCAAUCCCCUGGGCCUGUACUGACGCUCAUGCACGAAAGCGUGGGGAGCAAACAGG